This 484-nucleotide ribosomal RNA is filed under the name uncultured bacterium. RNAcentral describes it as "partial 16S ribosomal RNA". It matches the Rfam family "Bacterial small subunit ribosomal RNA", at positions 30 to 507 of the family's 1533-position model. The record is from RNAcentral.
AUUGAACGCUGGCAGCAGGCCUAACACAUGCAAGUCGAGCGGAUGAAGGGAGCUUGCUCCUGGAUUCAGCGGCGGACGGGUGAGUAAUGCCUAGGAAUCUGCCUGGUAGUGGGGGAUAACGUCCGGAAACGGGCGCUAAUACCGCAUACGUCCUGAGGGAGAAAGUGGGGGAUCUUCGGACCUCACGCUAUCAGAUGAGCCUAGGUCGGAUUAGCUAGUUGGUGGGGUAAAGGCCUACCAAGGCGACGAUCCGUAACUGGUCUGAGAGGAUGAUCAGUCACACUGGAACUGAGACACAGUCCAGACUCCUACGGGAGGCAGCAGUGGGGAAUAUUGGACAAUGGGCGAAAGCCUGAUCCAGCCAUGCCGCGUGUGUGAAGAAGGUCUUCGGAUUGUAAAGCGCUUUAAGUUGGGAGGAAGGGCAGUAAGUUAAUACCUUGCUGUUUUGACGUUACCAACAGAAUAAGCACCGGCUAACUUCGUG